CCUACGGGUGGCAGCAGUGAGGAAUAUUGGUCAAUGGACGCAAGUCUGAACCAGCCAUGCCGCGUGCAGGAAGACGGCCCUAUGAGUUGUAAACUGCUUUUGUACGAGGGUAAACGCAGAUACGUGUGUCUGUCUGAAAGUAUCGUACGAAUAAGGAUCGGCUAACUCCGUGCCAGCAGCCGCGGUAAUACGGAGGAUUCAAGCGUUAUCCGGAUUUAUUGGGUUUAAAGGGUGCGUAGGCGGUCGGAUAAGUUAGAGGUGAAAUCCCGAGGCUCAACUGCGGAAUUGCAUCUGAUACUGUUCGGCUAGAGAGUAGUUGCGGUAGGCGGAAUGUAUGGUGUAGCGGUGAAAUGCUUAGAGAUCAUACAGAACACCGAUUGCGAAGGCAGCUUACCAAGCUACGACUGACGUUGAGGCACGAAAGCGUGGGUAGCAAACAGGAUUAGAUACCCCUGUAGUC
RNAcentral lists this ribosomal RNA (460 nucleotides) under uncultured bacterium. RNAcentral's name for it is "partial 16S ribosomal RNA". It matches the Rfam family "Bacterial small subunit ribosomal RNA", at positions 338 to 795 of the family's 1533-position model. The record is from RNAcentral.